GUGUGUGACAGGUGUGUGUGACAGGUGUGUGACAGGUGUGUGACAGGUGAGUGACAGGUGUGUGACAGGUGUGUGACAGGUGUGUGACAGGUGCAGUAAACACAGAGUCAG
Long non-coding RNA from Boleophthalmus pectinirostris (great blue-spotted mudskipper), 111 nucleotides. RefSeq lists it as uncharacterized. NCBI's taxonomy places the organism in Eukaryota, Metazoa, Chordata, Actinopteri, Gobiiformes, Gobiidae. The transcript is spliced from 2 exons. The record is from RefSeq and is a predicted model, not a curated record.